This 433-nucleotide ribosomal RNA is filed under the name uncultured bacterium. RNAcentral's name for it is "partial 16S ribosomal RNA". It matches the Rfam family "Bacterial small subunit ribosomal RNA", at positions 29 to 507 of the family's 1533-position model. The record is from RNAcentral.
AACGAACGCUGGCGGCAUGCCUAACACAUGCAAGUCGAACGAGACCUUCGGGUCUAGUGGCGCACGGGUGCGUAACGCGUGGGAAUCUGCCCUUGGGUUCGGAAUAACAGUUGGAAACGACUGCUAAUACCGGAUGAUGACGUAAGUCCAAAGAUUUAUCGCCCAAGGAUGAGCCCGCGUAGGAUUAGCUAGUUGGUGAGGUAAAGGCUCACCAAGGCGACGAUCCUUAGCUGGUCUGAGAGGAUGAUCAGCCACACUGGGACUGAGACACGGCCCAGACUCCUACGGGAGGCAGCAGUGGGGAAUAUUGGACAAUGGGCGAAAGCCUGAUCCAGCAAUGCCGCGUGAGUGGUGAAGGCCUUAGGGUUGUAAAGCUCUUUUACCCGGGAUGAUAAUGACAGUACCGGGAGAAUAAGCUCCGGCUAACUCCGUG